AAUUUUGGACAAUGGGGGAAGCCCUGAUCCAGCCAUACUGCGGGUAUGAUGAAGGCCGUCGGGUUGUAAAGUACUUUUGGCAGAGAAGAAAAGGUAUCUCCUAAUACGAGAUACUGCUGACGGUAUCUGCAGAAUAAUCACCGGCUAACUCAGUGCCAGCAGCCGCGGUAAGACGUAGUGUGCAAGCGUUAAUCGGAAUGCAUGGGAGUAAAGCGUGUGUAGGCUGUUCGGAAAGAAAGAUGUGAAAUCCCAGGGCUCAACCUUGGAACUGCAUUUUUAACUGCCGAGCUAGAGUAUGUCAGAGGUAGGGAGAAUUCCACGUGUAGCAGUGAAAUGCGUAGAUAUGUGGAGGAAUACCGAUGGCGAAGGCAGCCCCCUGGGAUAAUACUGACGCUCAGACACGAAAGCGUGGGGAGCAAACAG
Molecule: ribosomal RNA, 423 nt
Filed under: uncultured bacterium
Lineage: Bacteria
Description: partial 16S ribosomal RNA
Rfam family: Bacterial small subunit ribosomal RNA
Source: RNAcentral